RNAcentral lists this ribosomal RNA (711 nucleotides) under Microbacteriaceae bacterium SM29. Its description in RNAcentral is "bacterial SSU rRNA". It matches the Rfam family "Bacterial small subunit ribosomal RNA", at positions 711 to 1420 of the family's 1533-position model. Lineage: Bacteria; Bacillati; Actinomycetota; Actinomycetes; Micrococcales; Microbacteriaceae. The record is from RNAcentral.
GAUGGCGAAGGCAGAUCUCUGGCCGUAACUGACGCUGAGGAGCGAAAGGGUGGGGAGCAAACAGGCUUAGAUACCCUGGUAGUCCACCCCGUAAACGUUGGGAACUAGUUGUGGGGUCCAUUCCACGGAUUCCGUGACGCAGCUAACGCAUUAAGUUCCCCGCCUGGGGAGUACGGCCGCAAGGCUAAAACUCAAAGGAAUUGACGGGGACCCGCACAAGCGGCGGAGCAUGCGGAUUAAUUCGAUGCAACGCGAAGAACCUUACCAAGGCUUGACAUAUACGAGAACGGGCCAGAAAUGGUCAACUCUUUGGACACUCGUAAACAGGUGGUGCAUGGUUGUCGUCAGCUCGUGUCGUGAGAUGUUGGGUUAAGUCCCGCAACGAGCGCAACCCUCGUUCUAUGUUGCCAGCACGUAAUGGUGGGAACUCAUGGGAUACUGCCGGGGUCAACUCGGAGGAAGGUGGGGAUGACGUCAAAUCAUCAUGCCCCUUAUGUCUUGGGCUUCACGCAUGCUACAAUGGCCGGUACAAAGGGCUGCAAUACCGUGAGGUGGAGCGAAUCCCAAAAAGCCGGUCCCAGUUCGGAUUGAGGUCUGCAACUCGACCUCAUGAAGUCGGAGUCGCUAGUAAUCGCAGAUCAGCAACGCUGCGGUGAAUACGUUCCCGGGUCUUGUACACACCGCCCGUCAAGUCAUGAAAGUCGGUAACAC